UUAUAGAGCAUAACAAAUUUGUUGCAUAUAACCUGUUAAGAACAUUGGAUGUGUAACAUAGAAGCAUUAGAAUUAACGGCUACGAUAAAUUUCUUACGAUUGAUGCCCUAUAAUUUUUCAUAUAUUUUGGGGCCUAAAGUAUCAGCUUCAUGCCCAGGGGCCGGCUCUUGCGUAGAGACAGUCUGAGUAUUUUGUUGCUCUAUAACGAGUAUUCCAAUGGUAAUGCCUGCGUUUGAAUCUGGUGCAGGGCUUGGCAAAUAGACGUAUUGGUGCAACAAUUGUAAAUGCAAGUACUGCUGAUGGUUUAAAGCAGCUUCAAAACAAGUAGAACAAAUGUUGUUGACCUUGCUGUUUCCGAAAGACAAAAAUCAACUGGCGCAGGCAAGGAAGGAAGCUCGGAAUUAUCAAUAGAUCACUUGCUCAACUCGGGGAAGCAAAGGCAUAAGAGAUUCCAGGCUGACAUUUCUACAGCACGAGUCUCUUGGUGGGAAUGCAAAAUUAGCUAUGGUUUGUGCAGUUUCUCCCUCUCAAAGUUGUAGAAGUCAAACUUUCAGCAUCGUAGAGAUUUGCUCAGCGUGCAAAGGCGAUACAGAACAAGAUAUCCAAGGCAUUCGAUGACGACCGUGGCUAAUGCUCGGGAUAGAGACUUGGGUAAAGCUGAGCGCAGUUUUCAUGUCAUCGAUGUUUUAAGAGGCGAAAACGCACCAACUGCUGAAGCCAAAACGGGUACCUAGCUCGCUGAAAUGUUAAUGUUCGGUAUUAAGCUAGAUGACUUAUUAGAAAAAAAAAAUUAAAAGAUCUAAAUCACCAAAAUAAAGCGAAACAUAGUCUCAUUCAAACCAUCUCAGUAAUUGUAUUAUGAAAUUUAGAUAACUGCAACGAAAUUGAAUCCACGCCAUGUGCCACAAAAUCGCGUGGUUAUAUCAUUAUCGUAUGAACCGUAAACCACAAGUCCAUUCACAUCAUUUGAUCAUAUAGGCUCCAUGCCUAGAGAAUUAAGAGAUUCUGAUCUUUCUUUUGGCCACAUGCCUUUGCGAGUUUGCGAUGAAGCAUCUUCUUCAAUCGUGUGAAGCGAUCAAGGUGAUGAUGGCAGCCCAUGUAAUCUCGAAGAAACGACAUAACGCUCCCUAAGCUAUAAGUAAACUUGUUCUGAAAGUACAAUCAGAUCAUCCGAAAAGCACAAUUUAUCUCUAAAUUUCAAACAUAAAUUUGGAAGAUAAAGGACAAAUUGUUGGAAAUAUUUAAGUCAGAAAAAAAAUCAUCAUGCCUAAGUGACAAUGCCAACUUUCUUCUCUCGCUAUCGUCUUAUGGCUUCCGGGUUGCCGGUUGCGUUUUCAUCAUGCCUCUGAGGCAAAACAAAAGAAAAACUUAAGAUGUACAUAGAUUUCGACCAUAAUAACUAUCUAUAAAAUAAACUCUUAAACUUUAGAAGAGGGGCAUUAACUAUUAUUCAAUUUCGACUUACUCCAAAAAGAAAAAAAAAAUCUAUCGACAUCAUGUAUUAA
This is a long non-coding RNA of Raphanus sativus (radish), 1505 nucleotides long. RefSeq lists it as uncharacterized. The transcript has 4 exons. The record is from RefSeq and is a predicted model, not a curated record. Lineage: Eukaryota; Viridiplantae; Streptophyta; Magnoliopsida; Brassicales; Brassicaceae.